This is a long non-coding RNA of Esox lucius (northern pike), 1740 nucleotides long. NCBI's taxonomy places the organism in Eukaryota, Metazoa, Chordata, Actinopteri, Esociformes, Esocidae. The record is from Ensembl.
UGCAAUUUCUUUUCGGGAACUAAAGCGUUAAUAAUUCCCCUCGGUUGGCAAUAGAAGAGACGGCUGCGUGGGCUGCAAGAUCAUUUGAGAGUGCAUUUUUCUCCUCCAAUCCGCUGCACGGAGCUCACUCUCGAUAUGCCCAAUGGGGAGAAGGGGUGGCUCUAACGAAUUUGAAUGAAGAGAGUAUCUUUCGGCGCCAUUUUCGAGUGAGCUGCGAUUGCUUCAACAGCUGCGAGGAGCGGCUGCUGCGAGUAGGGCAUGUCAGUGGCUGGAGCUGUCGAAAGAGAGACGGAAUUAUUUUGGAGACUCGGGGAAAAAAAGACAACGAUAUAUAAAAACUGUCCCUGGAAAGAAAACAACUGGACGGUGAAAUAAAUCAAGGAAAGGGAGUCAAAGGCUACGCCGUAUCGACCGGGGGAGACGUUAUAUAGCUAGUUAGCUAAUGAUAGCAUUGCUAGCGAGAAGAAAGGGGUGUCUCACUUGGCUUCGAUGCAGAAUUGCAACAUUUAGAAAUAAAUUUGCGACAAAUUAGUGAACCUUUCUAAAAAUAAUCAAAAAUUUGAUAAAAUUAUUUCAAGCUCGAGUGAGUGGACUAUGACCGGUGGAAUUGACAUUUUUGUUAAUCUUAGUCCUUUUUUGUAACGUUCAAUUUGAGCGGGAGGUGCAAAAGCGGGAGGCACUGGAGAAACAGACGGCAUGGCUGUCAACAACAAAUGAACUGACGCUUGAUGUCGUUGGAUACCUUUUGAAAACGAUGUAAUGAUUAAAGACAUUUUCAUUUUUGUGUAAAGUGGAGGACGCAUUUUCAUGAGGCCCCUCUGGCAAAAUGGGUUCCCACCCCCAUUUCCUGGUGGAGUUGUGCUGCCUCUGUGCUCUCCCUCUGUGCUCACGUGUGGUGGCUGGUCUACAGAGAAACACCCCGUGCAGCAGAAACUCAGCCAUAUUCAGAUUCACCAUGAUGCAAGCAGGUUUUCACAGGUUUUGUUGUUAUUUUCCAGAGCUCAUGCACGAGGAGAGGUUCCGCUGCUCAGUCCUAUCAAAGGCAGGUCAUAAAGAAGCAAUAAUGGUCUCACUGGUUAAACAGGAUACUACUUAACAGGAUCCUGUUGUUUUUACUUUUUUGUUUUGUUUUGAUAAUUGGUCAGUUGUGGGGUUCCACGUUUUCAUUUCUUGUUUGGAGUUAAUAUGUUAAAGGUCUUAUCUUCCGCCUUUAAGUGUUUGGCUACUGUUUGGAUGUCACAACUGCCUGUAUCAUUUGAAACCUAUCAAGUUCCUUCUGACGUGAAUGCAUUUUUCCUCGGCUGUUUUGCAUUUGCGGCAGUUUUUGCAUAGGCCACAGUGCAGGCCUAGUGUCACAUUUGCACACAGCCAUGAUUACACCUGGACCUUCUACUGAAUGGAGCCCCCUGUAAUAUAUGCCUACCAAGAACAGGCUCUUGGUUUUGUGUGAUGCAAUAUUUUCAUUGUCAAUUUGUACGUUUGUAAUGGUGGGUAAAAUGUUACACCUCCUUGUGCAGUUUUUGGAUUUAUUAGCGUUUUAUACAGGACAGUGUAAAACCUUUUAAUCUCCUAAUAAAUAUAGUUUAAUCUUUAAGUAGAACAGUGUGUUGUGAUUGUAGUUUGAAUUCUGUGGUUUUUCUGUCCGAACUCUAAACACAGUGGUUAUGUAAUGAUUCUAGACUGCAGACAGGUCUUGGAGUGUUCUUUUAAGUUAACACUGAUGCCAAUAUUAAAAACCCA